Oncorhynchus tshawytscha (Chinook salmon) is the source of this 3063-nucleotide long non-coding RNA. Lineage: Eukaryota; Metazoa; Chordata; Actinopteri; Salmoniformes; Salmonidae. The record is from Ensembl.
CAAGAUACUAAGAUUGACUCAUAAACUCAUUAAAGACAAGAACAAGACGAUAGAGCAAUGUGCUUGUUCAUUUAGUGGACCUUCAAAGCCCACCUGGUCUGUUCUCGUCGGGGUUCGGACGUGACAACAACGUCCGUCAUUGAGUAUAACCUUUUGGCCUCAACAGCCUGCUUCCUUCAGCCACACCUCACACAGCAGCUGAGAAGCCAAAAAGCGAGAGAUAGUGACCCUUCUCUGUUCUUACCUCCACCACCAACACUGUGGAUGCAUCCCAAAUGGCACCACAUUCCAUAUAAUAUAUGGCACCAGAGCCCUAUGAGUCCUGGUCAAAACAAGUGCACCAUAUAGGGGGUAGGGUGCCAUUUGGGACACAACCUGUGUCUGCAUAAGCCCUUUCCACCACAGUCGGCGAGUCAAACAAAGUAAUUAGUCAAUAAAUACAGAGCUACCCAGGCGAAGCAGGGAAGGGGUCAGCCGGCAGGCAGGAAAUCGACUGUGUCAUUUUCCCCAUCACUGUACUGUACCAAGCUGUACCCUCCUACUAACUGUCCGGGUUACUAACUGGGGUUUUGCUAGCACUUUACAUUGUGUUGCACUUAUACCUGUGUAGUAGUUCUGUAAUUACUACUCUUAUAGGCUAGCUGUGUAGUUAAUCUGUAAUUACACUCUAGUUACUUAAGUGUUACAAAGCUCGUUAACACAUAAUAUAAAUUGUAUGACAGGACCUCAAAGUAUUGAAAUGGUACCUAUCUGUAUUCAUACAGCAAACUGAGAGAAACUGGUCCUGUAAUUUAUUUUUUAUUUUCAAACGCAAAGAGAUUCGUGGGGGUAGGAGAUAAAAGUCUAUGAAAAAAGACUCACACACAUAGUGUGAAUGCGACAAGUCAAGUCCUUUUUUUUUUUAAACAGCAGAGUACGGCAAAGCAAUACCAGAGCACUUGCAAUAGUUAUCGUUACUCAUCCGCAGAGAGUCUGUGGUAAAACAGUAAACAGCACACUAUUGCCUCACCUUAUUGUCCUUAUCCAGAAUUACAACAAUUUCAUUAUUUAAAAAAAAAUGGUUUCCAGGGUGUCUGUUGUUUUGAAAAGACCCUCCAGGAAAUACAGACAUCGGCUUCUUUUCUUGGUACAACUCCACUGCCAAGACAAGAGUACCUUCACCCUCUAUAACUGUCCAUGCCAUGCAGCAGAGGGGGGAAAAGUGAAGGACUAAUUGUUUGUUUGUAUUGAAUUAACACAGUAUCGAAGUAUCCACUGGAGAGCUCCAGUAAUUGUAGUCCCCAGAAGGGAAGUCCUCACAAUGUAAGAAGUCCUCACAAUGUAAGAAGUCCUCACAAUGUAAGAAGUCCUCACAAGGCAUGAUGGGGUUUCCAAGGCCUCUCAUAGUCAGGGUGGUGGUUCAGCAACAGUGGCUACUCAAAUUGAACCACUUUAAGGAAAUGGGGGGAGUUGGAGAAGGGGGAGUCACAAGCCCCACUGACAAACAGUCAGGCGAUGGUGGUGAGUUUGGGCUGGGCACCAGCGCAAUCGAUAUCGCUGGGUCAAGGAAGAGUCACUGAGGGAGGGGCAGCACCGAGAGAUCAUGCCCCAGUGGCGGGGCUGGUUGGUGGGAGGGUAGAGGUGAUGGUAGGGGCACCCGUGGAGGUCAGAGCGAUGCCCAUAUCCGUGCUGAUCGGACCACCACGGGACACGCCACCCUCGGGAAUACCUGGCAGAUUUGCUGGGAAAACAAAGAAAAACAAACAAUGAGUAAAACUGAAAACAACACCAGUGUGUACAAGUUACUUUAGCAAUAAUACUGUGUAGUGUUACUUUAACACUAUAACACUGUGUAGUGUCAGUUUAAAACGACAGCACUCUGCACUGUUACUUUAGGUCAUGUGAAGCAGUUGUGUUGUGUGCAGUGAAGCGGCACUACAAUGGGGUGACAUGUCGGGACAAAUGGAUUUCCCCUAUCCCACUAACUCUUGGAUCAGUGUUCAUGAUUUAAAGGAGAGUAGGAGGGAGGAAAAAGAGGCCAUUGGUCGAGCAUUUAGAGCCGGCUAGAGUGCAGCACUCUGCGGCUGAGCAAGAGAGCAGCGUGGCUGACCCAUUCUGUUUCACUGACACCAGGGGACCCAAUCAACAGGCGCUACUUCCCGAUGGAGAGCAGAGGCUAAACGCCCCCCAAGCCUUAUUUUCUCUUUCGUUUUCUUUCUUUCUCCUGAGUCCCUUUACCGGUCCUCCCCUCAAAAGAUGGCAACCUUGACCCCUCGGAACGAUGUUAGCAAACCUCGGCCGAAUAAUUGGCGGAGAGGCUCCUUUAAACAAUGGCCUCCAGCGGUGUUAGGGCGACGCACAGGGGUCAGUGAGGAAGUUCACCAAAGGAUGCCUGAGGGGGUUUCUGGGUAGAGAGAAACAUUUUGUACGGGGAGGGGAAUAAUCCUGUACUCUCGUUAAUUUGUGGGCCCGUAAUCGCCUAUUGUCUGGGAAGGGAAAAUUACGAUUUUGCCCAGGCUUGGCUAAUUUUGCGGAAUAAGAAGAAAGGAAAGAAGGGGGCCAAACGACCAGGGAACAGUCGUUUGGUCCGGGGCCUUCUGCAUGGCUUGCUUUGGAUACGAACUGACAGGUGCAUUGUUUCCCAAGGACCCAUAAGCUCAAUAAUCGCGAGGGGAAGAAAGUGUAAUGCUCCUCCUGAGGAGUCUUUAAUUGACUUUAGUUCGAAGAAGAGUUGCAGAGUGACUGUAUUAGAAAAACCCGCCAAGUCCCGAGUCUCUCUCCAGUCUCUCUUCAGUCUCUCUCCAGUCUCUCUCUCCAGUCUCUCUUCAGUCUCUCUCCAGUCUCUCUCUCCAGUCUCUCUCUCCAGUCUCUCUUCAGUCUCUCUCCAGUCUCUCUUCAGUCUCUCUCCAGCCUCUCUCUCAUCUCUCUCUCCAGUCUCUCUCUCCAGUCCAGGCCGUAAACGGCUCGCUUAAUCUUCCCCAUUUGCCGAGCUUAAUGAAAAUAUCUUAUGACAGAACUGGAGUCCUUAAUCAAAUAAGAAAACGUUUUAUGUACCUCGUUAAUGAUUCAUCCAUUCAACGGGAC